GGAGAGAUGGCCGAGUGGUCGAAGGCACUCGCUUGCUAAGCGAGCGUACGGUGAAAAGCUGUACCGAGGGUUCAAAUCCCUCUCUCUCCGCCA
This 93-nucleotide transfer RNA is filed under the name Microbacteriaceae bacterium. RNAcentral's name for it is "tRNA-Ser". It matches the Rfam family "tRNA". Rfam says of the family: Transfer RNA (tRNA) molecules are approximately 80 nucleotides in length. Their secondary structure includes four short double-helical elements and three loops (D, anti-codon, and T loops). Lineage: Bacteria; Bacillati; Actinomycetota; Actinomycetes; Micrococcales; Microbacteriaceae. The record is from RNAcentral.